UACAGAGGUCUCGAGCGUUAGGCGGAAUCACUGGGCUUAAAGCGUGUGUAGGCGGAUCGUUAAGUGCCUUGUGAAAUCCCACGGCUCAACCGUGGAACUGCUUGGCAUACUGGCGGUCUUGAGCAACCUAGGGGCGAGCGGAACAAAUGGUGGAGCGGUGAAAUUCGUAGAUAUUCGCAAGAACACCAGUGGCGAAGGCGGCUCACUGGCCCGGUACUGACGCUGAGGUGCGAAAGCGUGGGGAGCAAACAGG
RNAcentral lists this ribosomal RNA (253 nucleotides) under uncultured bacterium. RNAcentral's name for it is "partial 16S ribosomal RNA". It matches the Rfam family "Bacterial small subunit ribosomal RNA", at positions 524 to 776 of the family's 1533-position model. The record is from RNAcentral.